This 502-nucleotide ribosomal RNA is filed under the name uncultured bacterium. Its description in RNAcentral is "partial 16S ribosomal RNA". It matches the Rfam family "Bacterial small subunit ribosomal RNA", at positions 28 to 507 of the family's 1533-position model. The record is from RNAcentral.
GACGAACGCUGGCGGCGUGCUUAACACAUGCAAGUCGAACGGUGAAGGGGUCUGCUUUUGUGGUCCCUGGAUGAGUGGCGAACGGGUGAGUAACACGUGAGUAACCUUCCCCCUUCUUCUGGAUAACCGCAUGAAAGUGUGGCUAAUACGGGAUAUUCUGGUUCUGUCGCAUGAUGGGUCUGGGAAAGAUUGCGCCUUUGGGUGUUUUUGGUGGGGGAUGGGCUCGCGGCCUAUAAGCUUGUUGGUGGGGGGAUGGCCUACCAAGGAGGUGACGGGUAGCCGGGAGGAGAGGGUGGACGGUCACACUGGGACUGAGACACGGACCAGACUCCGACGGGAGGGAGGAGUGGGGAAGACUGCAGGAGGGGCGCUAGCCUGAUGAAGCGACGCCGCGUGAGGGAUGGAGGCCUUCGGGUUGUAAACCUCUUUCGCCAGUGAAGCAGGCCUGCUCCAUGUGGGUGGGUUGACGGUAGCUGGAUAAGAAGCGCCGGCUAACUACGUG